UUCCAGACUCCUACGGGAGGCAGCAGUGGGGAAUAUUGCACAAUGGGGGAAACCCUGAUGCAGCGACGCCGCGUGAAGGAAGAAGUAUUUCGGUAUGUAAACUUCUAUCAGCAGGGAAGAAAAUGACGGUACCUGACUAAGAAGCCCCGGCUAACUACGUGCCAGCAGCCGCGGUAAUACGUAGGGGGCAAGCGUUAUCCGGAUUUACUGGGUGUAAAGGGAGCGUAGGCGGUGAUGCAAGUCAGAAGUGAAAGCCCGCAGCUCAACUGCGGGACUGCGUUUGAAACUGUAUGACUAGAGUGCAGGAGAGGUAAGUGGAAUUCCUAGUGUAGCGGUGAAAUGCGUAGAUAUUAGGAGGAACACCAGUGGCGAAGGCGGCUUACUGGACUGUAAAUGACGCUGAGGCUCGAAAGCGUGGGGAGCAAACAGGAUUAGAUACCCUCGUAGU
RNAcentral lists this ribosomal RNA (448 nucleotides) under uncultured bacterium. Its description in RNAcentral is "bacterial SSU rRNA". It matches the Rfam family "Bacterial small subunit ribosomal RNA", at positions 329 to 794 of the family's 1533-position model. The record is from RNAcentral.